This 279-nucleotide ribosomal RNA is filed under the name uncultured bacterium. RNAcentral describes it as "partial 16S ribosomal RNA". It matches the Rfam family "Bacterial small subunit ribosomal RNA", at positions 506 to 784 of the family's 1533-position model. The record is from RNAcentral.
UGCCAGCAGCCGCGGUAAUACGGAGGGGGUUAGCGUUGUUCGGAAUUACUGGGCGUAAAGCGCACGUAGGCGGAUUAGUAAGUUAGGGGUGAAAUCCCGGGGCCCAACCCCGGAACUGCCUCUAAUACUGCUAGUCUUGAGUUCGAGAGAGGUGAGUGGAAUUCCGAGUGUAGGGGUGAAAUUCGUAGAUAUUCGGAGGAACACCAGUGGCGAAGGCGACUUUCUGGCUCGUAACUGACGCUGAGGCACGAAAGCGUGGGGAGCAAACAGGAUUAGAUA